Molecule: ribosomal RNA, 448 nt
Filed under: uncultured bacterium
Lineage: Bacteria
Description: bacterial SSU rRNA
Rfam family: Bacterial small subunit ribosomal RNA
Source: RNAcentral
GUACCAGACUCCUACGGGAGGCAGCAGUGGGGGAUAUUGCACAAUGGGGGAAACCCUGAUGCAGCGACGCCGCGUGAGUGAAGAAGUAUUUCGGUAUGUAAAGCUCUAUCAGCAGGGAAGAAAAUGACAGUACCUGACCAAGAAGCCCCGGCUAACUACGUGCCAGCAGCCGCGGUAAUACGUAGGGGGCAAGCGUUAUCCGGAUUUACUGGGUGUAAAGGGAGCGUAGACGGUUAUGUAAGUCUGGAGUGAAAGCCCGGGGCCCAACCCCGGGACUGCUCUGGAAACUGCGUCGCUGGAGUACGGGAGGGGCAGGCGGAAUUCCUGGUGUAGCGGCGAAAUGCGUAGAUAUCAGGAGGAACACCGGCGGCGAAGGCGGCCUGCUGGACCGUGACUGACGUUGAGGCUCGAGAGCGUGGGGAGCAAACAGGAUUAGAUACCCCUGUAC